AUACACAUUCAUACACUGAUGGCAGUGGUUACUAUGUAGGGAGACAAUCAGAAGUAACUGAUCUCAUUCAUACGUAUUCAUACGCUGCUGCCGAUGCAGCGGGAGCAAUUCAGGGUUAAGUGUCUUGCCCAAGGACACAUCAGACAUGUUGCUGCAUGAACGCCUUCCGGUUGAGAGACGAUGAAUCUACCACUGACCCACAGCCGCCUGUGAUGAUGUAACACGGGCACGCCAUGAAUGUUUUUGUACAUGCUUCAACUUCUGGAUGCCAAUCAAAAGAAAGUAAAAAAGAAAAGAAAAAUACAUUUGUGUAUUUUGUGAUCAUUUUAUUAUAUUAUUCACUUGUAAAUAUUAUUACUUGAGUUUAACCUUUUUUAGAACUUUGUAAAAAACAUUACAGCGUAAAUGCAUGUUUAAAAGAAUCAGUACAUGACGCUUUCAUACAUUUUGUCAUUAAUAACAAGGAAAAAAAGAAGGUUGUAUAUUCAGAAGCAUUAAUACAAAUGAU
This is a long non-coding RNA of Labrus mixtus (cuckoo wrasse), 508 nucleotides long. RefSeq lists it as uncharacterized. The record is from RefSeq and is a predicted model, not a curated record. NCBI's taxonomy places the organism in Eukaryota, Metazoa, Chordata, Actinopteri, Labriformes, Labridae. The transcript has 2 exons.